AAACUUUCAGCAACGGAUCUCUUGGCUCUGGCAUCGAUGAAGAACGCAGCGAAAUGCGAUACGUAAUGUGAAUUGCAGAAUUCAGCGAACCAUCGAAUCUUUGAACGCACAUUGCGCCCGCCAGCAUUCUGGCGGGCAUGCCUGUCCGAGCGUCAUUU
Molecule: ribosomal RNA, 158 nt
Filed under: Sporothrix schenckii
Lineage: Eukaryota; Fungi; Ascomycota; Sordariomycetes; Ophiostomatales; Ophiostomataceae
Description: 5.8 ribosomal RNA
Rfam family: 5.8S ribosomal RNA
About the family: 5.8S ribosomal RNA (5.8S rRNA) is a component of the large subunit of the eukaryotic ribosome. It is transcribed by RNA polymerase I as part of the 45S precursor that also contains 18S and 28S rRNA. Functionally, it is thought that 5.8S rRNA may be involved in ribosome translocation.
Source: RNAcentral